GCCUGGGUGGCGGAAUAGGUAGACGCAAGGGACUUAAAAUCCCUCGGCAAUUAUUGUCGUGCCGGUUCAAUUCCGGCCCCAGGUACCA
Molecule: transfer RNA, 88 nt
Filed under: Desulfobacterium sp.
Lineage: Bacteria; Pseudomonadati; Thermodesulfobacteriota; Desulfobacteria; Desulfobacterales; Desulfobacteriaceae
Description: tRNA-Leu
Rfam family: tRNA
About the family: Transfer RNA (tRNA) molecules are approximately 80 nucleotides in length. Their secondary structure includes four short double-helical elements and three loops (D, anti-codon, and T loops).
Source: RNAcentral